RNAcentral lists this transfer RNA (73 nucleotides) under Microcaldota archaeon. Its description in RNAcentral is "tRNA-Gly". It matches the Rfam family "tRNA". From Rfam's summary of the family: Transfer RNA (tRNA) molecules are approximately 80 nucleotides in length. The record is from RNAcentral. Lineage: Archaea; Nanobdellati; Microcaldota.
GCGAACGUAGUCUAGCCUGGUAGGACUCUGGCCUUCCAAGCCAAAAACCCGGGUUCAAAUCCCGGCGUUCGCA